CACUGGUCGAGUGAUCCUGCGCCGAAGAUUUCCGGGGCUAAAACUUACUACCGAAGCUACGGCAUCAGUAAUGAUGGGUAGGGGAGCUUCCCAUACGGGUUGAAGCAUGACCGUAAGGACAUGUGGACAGUAUGGGCGUGAGAAUGUUGGCAUGAGUAGCGAGAUGUGGGUGAGAAUCCCACAGGCCGUAAACCCAAGGUUUCCAGGGGAAGGUUCGUCCGCCCUGGGUUAGUCGGGACCUAAGCUGAGGCCGAAAGGCGUAGGUGAUGGACAACAGGUUGAUAUUCCUGUACUACCGAUAACCGUUUG
This 309-nucleotide ribosomal RNA is filed under the name Clostridioides difficile. Its description in RNAcentral is "partial 23S ribosomal RNA". It matches the Rfam family "Bacterial large subunit ribosomal RNA", at positions 1143 to 1460 of the family's 2925-position model. The record is from RNAcentral. Lineage: Bacteria; Bacillati; Bacillota; Clostridia; Peptostreptococcales; Peptostreptococcaceae.